AUUUGAUUUAAUGAAAUGUUUAUGUUCUUAUUUCCUUGAUUAAAUAGAUAAUUUUCGUAGUUUUACGUUGUUACUUUGUUUUAGUAAGUGUUGAAUUUUGCUGAGAAAUUAACAUGACCAAUUGGAGUAAAAUCAAGUGACAAUGAAAGCUAAGAUUCAUAGAUACAACUUUCAUGAAGACAUCGGAACCCAAUUCAGACUCAAAAGAGGAGAAAAAUGUAGAAAAUGUCAAACAGAAGAAGUUGUGCGCCUAAAGUGCAACAACUGCGACAGGGGCACAUUUCCACCCAUCCUAAUUUUUUUAAUGCACCCAAUUUAAAUAGAGCCAAAAUCUUAAUUUUUUCAAUGGAGGUAAAAAAAAUUAAAUUGAGAUAAAAUCCAAAUUUUUUCAAUGGAGCCAAAAACAAAUUUUGAUGGAGCCAAAAUAAAAAUUAAUAGAGGCAAAACCUAAAUUAGUACCAAGUACCAACUAAAUCCUUUCUCAUCAAAACACCUAAAACUCAAAACUGUUGUCCUCUUUCACCCAAUAUGAGCCCCAAUCUAAGCCCCAAUCGUUGUCUUCUCCUUCUCGUCGUUCUCACUCAAAACUGUCGUUCUCACUGUUCUCGCUGUCAAUCAACCAACUGCACUCGCCGACGAACCAGUCGAACCAGUUGCGCACUCGCCGUCGAACCGGAGCUGCACUCGCCGUCGAACCAGUCGCGCCGUCGAACCCGAGCUGCACUCACCGUCGUUCUCACCGUUCUCGCACCACUGUUGUGUUUGGAUUAACUAAAGAUACAAUCUUAGCGCGCGGGAAUUUGAAGGAACUUCAACUGAACGGCUGCAGGAGGAAUGACAUGAGAACGAGGAAUCAUACUUUAAGAAUCCCACAGUAGCAGUUUGGUCAAUGAUGAUUAUAUCAUUUAUGCAACUUUUUAUCCAUCAACAUCUUUGUCUAUAUGAGCAAUGCUUGAUGUGUCUUGAAACCAAAGACUUUAAAAUAAGCAUCAAGAUCAUGACUUAGUGUUGGUUCUUUUGGCAUCUAAAAUUGUAAAUAUUUAUUAUCCAGACUAGUUGCAGGUUACUCCAACUUAUUGGCAAGGGCUAUUUCAAGUGUUAAUAUUAGGUAGUGGAGAUGUUGCAGAGCAAAGGUGGAGGUAAUAUUAGCUAUCUCUACGGUUUUAUACGUUUACUUAUAGAUUUUCAUCGCUAAACGUAAAAUUUAUUGUAGUGAUAUUUUUUAAAGCAAUGUUAUCGAUGAAGUUAAUCAAUACUUGCAUAUGACCCUACUAAAACAGAAGAAUAAGUUGCAUCUCUUGUACCAGAUGAUAGGGUUGACCCAAAUCAAUAUCGUGGUUUGGUUCAUCAUUGGUUUUCUGAUGAAGGACAAGUAAGUCGUAUAUAUUAUGAGUAAUAUAUUAAAGAGCUUAUUAUUUAGACUAUAUUUUAUAUCAAUUGCAGAAAAUAAGUAAAAUUAAUAGACAAAAUCGUGCUAAGUUUGAAGAUGUUCAUUGUAUGGGUUAAAAAAGUCUCCCAAAGUUUAUUGAUGAGAAGGUUUAUUUCUAUUUCUAUUUUUAUUUUUAUGGCUUUAAUUUAAAUUAAAAAUGAAAUGCAUUUAACUUAUUUAUUUGGUUGUAGAUAAAAAAGGGCAAAAGAGUGUUGUCUGGACGUAAAGAGAUUUACAUUGAUACCCGCACUCGUAAAGAUGGAACAAUUGUCAAUGAAAAGGCUGCAAGAUUGAUUGUGAAGAUUAAAAGCUAAUUUGUUGUUGAAGAUGGAAUAUUGGCAAUUUAGUGGACUCCAUUUUUUAAUAUUUUUUGAGAUUGUUAUGUAUGACACAAGAUGUCUAUUUUAAAUGUCUAUUUUUUGAGGUUAAGGGUUUUGUUUUAUCGUUGUAAGACUUUUAUAUUAAUUUUUAAUAUAUACAAUGAACACCUUUUAUUUUA
Non-coding RNA from Cicer arietinum (chickpea), 1928 nucleotides. NCBI's taxonomy places the organism in Eukaryota, Viridiplantae, Streptophyta, Magnoliopsida, Fabales, Fabaceae. The record is from RefSeq and is a predicted model, not a curated record.